CUCUGUUCACGAGACACUCGUGGGAUAUUCCUAGCCUUCUGCCCCCUUAGUUACGGGCAUUGCCGUCUCACUGCUGUAUAACCAGAGGCGUGGGAGCUGCAGCUGUCAGAAUCCUAAUCCCUUCUGCCUGGACUCGUUACCAGUGGUAGCGAGUGUGUAUAGUAGUAAACUGUGCUGCGAUGCUAGCCUUUCAGUCACUACCAGAGGUCCCAGCAGCAAAAACAAAAAUUGUGGAUGAUACAUUUUAACCUUCUAGAAACUCAGCUAACUCCUUUAGGUAUUUUUCAAGAAAUAAUGAAGAAAACAUCAAUAUAUCACCUACCAUCAUUUCAUUACUUGAUGGAUUCAGAAGCUCAAGAAG
This 361-nucleotide long non-coding RNA is filed under the name Homo sapiens (human). RNAcentral's name for it is "non-protein coding lnc-ERCC5-1:1". Lineage: Eukaryota; Metazoa; Chordata; Mammalia; Primates; Hominidae. The record is from RNAcentral.